CUGGGAGGACCAUCUCCUAAGGCUAAAUACUCUCUAGUGACCGAUAGUGAACCAGUACCGUGAGGGAAAGGUGAAAAGCACCCCGGAAGGGGAGUGAAAUAGAACCUGAAACCGUGUGCUUACAAGUAGUCAGAGCCCGUUAAUGGGUGAUGGCGUGCCUUUUGUAGAAUGAACCGGCGAGUUACGAUUUGAUGCAAGGUUAAGCAGUAAAUGUGGAGCCGUAGCGAAAGCGAGUCUGAAUAGGGCGUUUAGUAUUUGGUCGUAGACCCGAAACCAGGUGAUCUACCCUUGGUCAGGUUGAAGUUCAGGUAACACUGAAUGGAGGACCGAACCGACUUACGUUGAAAAGUGAGCGGAUGAACUGAGGGUAGCGGAGAAAUUCCAAUCGAACCUGGAGAUAGCUGGUUCUCUCCGAAAUAGCUUUAGGGCUAGCCUCAAGUGAUGAUUAUUGGAGGUAGAGCACUGUUUGGACGAGGGGCCCCUCUCGGGUUACCGAAUUCAGACAAACUCCGAAUGCCAAUUAAUUUAACUUGGGAGUCAGAACAUGGGUGAUAAGGUCCGUGUUCGAAAGGGAAACAGCCCAGACCACCAGCUAAGGUCCCAAAAUAUAUGUUAAGUGGAAAAGGAUGUGGCGUUGCCCAGACAACUAGGAUGUUGGCUUAGAAGCAGCCAUCAUUUAAAGAGUGCGUAAUAGCUCACUA
Molecule: ribosomal RNA, 701 nt
Filed under: Staphylococcus aureus
Lineage: Bacteria; Bacillati; Bacillota; Bacilli; Caryophanales; Staphylococcaceae
Description: partial 23S ribosomal RNA
Rfam family: Bacterial large subunit ribosomal RNA
Source: RNAcentral